UCUGAAUAUAGGUAUUGGAUCUAGUAGUUGAUGCCUUAACCCAUGAUGAGACCAUUGUACGUGCUGCAGCUUGUGUUUACUUAAGAAGUGUCUCUCGCUCAAUCAAGGCCUGUAAAUGAGAUAACAUUUGGUACUUGAAGUCUUUUAUGCUAUAUAAAGCUCAAGUCUCAUAAAAAUUUAUUCAGACUUUGAGUGUAGGUCAUUUUUUUACUGAAAAGACUGUCAUUUCUCUAUUUCAAUUUUCAACUUCUCUCUAAUCAUUCUACUAAUGUCCAGGUAUCCUGUUGUAUUUAUAAUGUUUGUUUUUGUAUCUAGGUUAAAUUGAAUGUUCAUCUAUUGCUCAUUAAUCAAUAUGUGACAACGUAUGCUGUUCUGAUGAUAAUUCAGGUAUUAUUGGUCUGCAACUUGUUGUAUCAGAGAACCAAGCAUAAUCUGUUUUGUAAUCUAAGUUGGUCAAUGGAUUUUUAUAGUUUGAAUCAGUAUAGCAUGCUAUGUUCUCAAAUCCUGCAGGGAAAAAACUGCAUAUCAUACAAUAUUAUCCAAACUUAAUCUUUCCCCUUAAGACUAGCUAUUUAAGCAAAAUCGGACUAAAACUAUCAAGUGAUAUUGUUAAAAUUUUAAAGAUGGUAAAAUAUGCAACUAUUAAAGAAGAUUUUAUUUUCCACAUUAGUAAUAAUGACCAAAGUAUAAUAUUUAUUGACCUUCAAAUACAGAAGCUGAUCUGAUAAAUAUGCACAAACAUAAAAUAUACGGCACAACCUAUCUUAAUAAUACCAAAUUAUCUUAUUUCUUCAUCAUUAUAGGUUACCCCAUGGGGUUGCUAAACAUGAAGCCAUGCCACUAUACAAAUCUGUUGAAUUAUUAUUAUUAUUAUUAUAUGCUUGUAUUUGGCUCUUGAACUUUCUAAAAUAAAUAUGUAUGCAGGUGUUCAUGAUUCGUUUUGGACACAUGCAUGUGAUGUAGAGAAAAUGAGUCAAAUUCUGAGAGAAAAAAUUGUGGAGCUUUAUGACAUGCCAAUACUUGAAAAUUUGCUAGAAGACUUCCAGACAUCAUACCCAGGAUUAGUUUUUCCUCCACUGCCAGAGGGAGGUGAUUUUGACUUACAAAAAGGUUCUCAAUUCUCCAUACUUUUUCACUGAGCGAUUCUCCAUACUUCUUCAACUGAGCUUCUCUACACAGGCAACUACAAAAAGAUUUAGUUGAAAGCAUUUCUCCAUCUUAUCUAAUGCGAAAUCAUUUAGAGGCCGGAGCUUAACUUAUCCUGUAGCGGAAGAAUUGAUUUUGAUAUUCAACCUAAGAAGAUGCUUCGGGGGGAAGAGAGGCAGGAAGGAAAAAAAGGUUCUGAAUGUUAUUUGUUUUGGGAAGUUUCUUGCUGCUAGAAUUCUUAGACUUGGUGAUCCAGUUAACACAAGACAAUUUUAGGGGAUUUUUAAUUAUCUCUCUCUCUCUCAUGUAUUAUAUAAUGUAUGAAUAGAAAUGAAUAGAUGCAUACUAGAUCGAAAGAAAGGUCAUUAGGGUAGAAACGUGCAGUUACUUGUGAUCUGUACAUAGACUUAUUCAUUUUCAUUGUGAAAUAAAUUGAGAAAUGCUUGAGAAAGAACAAUGAGGGGUUCAUGGCUGUUACCUGAGCUUUAAAUUGGAAGAGAAUAUCCAGUUAAUUUU
Arachis ipaensis is the source of this 1662-nucleotide non-coding RNA. The record is from RefSeq and is a predicted model, not a curated record. Lineage: Eukaryota; Viridiplantae; Streptophyta; Magnoliopsida; Fabales; Fabaceae.